Molecule: ribosomal RNA, 1534 nt
Filed under: Neisseria gonorrhoeae
Lineage: Bacteria; Pseudomonadati; Pseudomonadota; Betaproteobacteria; Neisseriales; Neisseriaceae
Description: bacterial SSU rRNA
Rfam family: Bacterial small subunit ribosomal RNA
Source: RNAcentral
UAAGAGUUUGAUCCUGGCUCAGAUUGAACGCUGGCGGCAUGCUUUACACAUGCAAGUCGGACGGCAGCACAGGGAAGCUUGCUUCUCGGGUGGCGAGUGGCGAACGGGUGAGUAACAUAUCGGAACGUACCGGGUAGCGGGGAUAACUGAUCGAAAGAUCAGCUAAUACCGCAUACGUCUUGAGAGGGAAAGCAGGGGACCUUCGGGCCUUGCGCUAUCCGAGCGGCCGAUAUCUGAUUAGCUGGUUGGCGGGGUAAAGGCCCACCAAGGCGACGAUCAGUAGCGGGUCUGAGAGGAUGAUCCGCCACACUGGGACUGAGACACGGCCCAGACUCCUACGGGAGGCAGCAGUGGGGAAUUUUGGACAAUGGGCGCAAGCCUGAUCCAGCCAUGCCGCGUGUCUGAAGAAGGCCUUCGGGUUGUAAAGGACUUUUGUCAGGGAAGAAAAGGCCGUUGCCAAUAUCGGCGGCCGAUGACGGUACCUGAAGAAUAAGCACCGGCUAACUACGUGCCAGCAGCCGCGGUAAUACGUAGGGUGCGAGCGUUAAUCGGAAUUACUGGGCGUAAAGCGGGCGCAGACGGUUACUUAAGCAGGAUGUGAAAUCCCGGGCUCAACCCGGGAACUGCGUUCUGAACUGGGUGACUCGAGUGUGUCAGAGGGAGGUGGAAUUCCACGUGUAGCAGUGAAAUGCGUAGAGAUGUGGAGGAAUACCGAUGGCGAAGGCAGCCUCCUGGGAUAACACUGACGUUCAUGUCCGAAAGCGUGGGUAGCAAACAGGAUUAGAUACCCUGGUAGUCCACGCCCUAAACGAUGUCAAUUAGCUGUUGGGCAACUUGAUUGCUUGGUAGCGUAGCUAACGCGUGAAAUUGACCGCCUGGGGAGUACGGUCGCAAGAUUAAAACUCAAAGGAAUUGACGGGGACCCGCACAAGCGGUGGAUGAUGUGGAUUAAUUCGAUGCAACGCGAAGAACCUUACCUGGUUUUGACAUGUGCGGAAUCCUCCGGAGACGGAGGAGUGCCUUCGGGAGCCGUAACACAGGUGCUGCAUGGCUGUCGUCAGCUCGUGUCGUGAGAUGUUGGGUUAAGUCCCGCAACGAGCGCAACCCUUGUCAUUAGUUGCCAUCAUUCGGUUGGGCACUCUAAUGAGACUGCCGGUGACAAGCCGGAGGAAGGUGGGGAUGACGUCAAGUCCUCAUGGCCCUUAUGACCAGGGCUUCACACGUCAUACAAUGGUCGGUACAGAGGGUAGCCAAGCCGCGAGGCGGAGCCAAUCUCACAAAACCGAUCGUAGUCCGGAUUGCACUCUGCAACUCGAGUGCAUGAAGUCGGAAUCGCUAGUAAUCGCAGGUCAGCAUACUGCGGUGAAUACGUUCCCGGGUCUUGUACACACCGCCCGUCACACCAUGGGAGUGGGGGAUACCAGAAGUAGGUAGGGUAACCGCAAGGAGUCCGCUUACCACGGUAUGCUUCAUGACUGGGGUGAAGUCGUAACAAGGUAGCCGUAGGGGAACCUGCGGCUGGAUCACCUCCUUU